RNAcentral lists this ribosomal RNA (253 nucleotides) under uncultured bacterium. RNAcentral describes it as "partial 16S ribosomal RNA". It matches the Rfam family "Bacterial small subunit ribosomal RNA", at positions 524 to 776 of the family's 1533-position model. The record is from RNAcentral.
GACAUAGGGUGCAAGCGUUGUUCGGAAUUACUGGGCGUAAAGCGCGUGUAGGCUGCUUCGCAAGUCGGAUGUGAAAGCCCUGGGCUCAACCCAGGAAGUGCAUUCGAAACUGCAGAGCUGGAGUCCUGGAGAGGAAGGCGGAAUUCUCGGUGUAGAGGUGAAAUUCGUAGAUAUCGAGAGGAACACCGGUGGCGAAGGCGGCCUUCUGGACAGUGACUGACGCUGAGACGCGAAAGCGUGGGGAGCAAACAGG